GAACGCUGGCGGCGUGCUUAACACAUGCAAGUCGAACGAUGAAGUUCCUUCGGGGAUGGAUUAGUGGCGAACGGGUGAGGAACACGUGAAGAAUCUGCCCUCCACUUUGGGAUAACUCCGGGAAACCGGGGCUAAUACCGAAUAUUGAAACAUAGACGGCAUCGUCGAGUUUUGAAAGAAUUUCGGUGGAGGAUGACUUCGCGGCCUAUCAGCUUGUUGGUGAGGUAAUGGCUCACCAAGGCGACGACGGGUAGCCGGCCUGAGAGGGCGACCGGCCACACUGGGACUGAGACACGGCCCAGACUCCUACGGGAGGCAGCAGUGGGGAAUAUUGGGCAAUGGACGCAAGUCUGACCCAGCGACGCCGCGUGCGGGAUGAAGGCCUUCGGGUUGUAAACCGCUUUCAGCAGGGAAGAAGCGAAAGUGACGGUACCUGCAAAAGGAGCACCGGCUAACUAUGUGCCAGCAGCCGCGGUAAUACAUAGGGUGCAAGCGUUGUCCGGAAUUAUUGGGCGUAAAGAGCUCGUAGGUCGUUAGUUACGUCGGAUGUGAAAUUUUGGGGCUCAACCCCAAACCUGCAUUCGAUACGGGCUAACUAGAGUUUGGUAGGGGAGACUGGAAUUCCUGGUGUAGCGGUGGAAUGCGCAGAUAUCAGGAGGAACACCAAUGGCGAAGGCAGGUCUCUGGGCCAAUACUGACACUGAGGAGCGAAAGCGCGGGGAGCGAACAGGAUUAGAUACCCUGGUAGUCCGCGCCGUAAACGGUGGGCGCUAGUUGUGGGGACCUUCCACGGUUUCUGCGACGCAGCUAACGCAUUAAGCGCCCCGCCUGGGGAGUACGAU
RNAcentral lists this ribosomal RNA (842 nucleotides) under uncultured bacterium. Its description in RNAcentral is "bacterial SSU rRNA". It matches the Rfam family "Bacterial small subunit ribosomal RNA", at positions 31 to 886 of the family's 1533-position model. The record is from RNAcentral.